RNAcentral lists this transfer RNA (69 nucleotides) under Ictidomys tridecemlineatus (thirteen-lined ground squirrel). RNAcentral's name for it is "Spermophilus tridecemlineatus (thirteen-lined ground squirrel) tRNA". It matches the Rfam family "tRNA". Rfam says of the family: Transfer RNA (tRNA) molecules are approximately 80 nucleotides in length. Their secondary structure includes four short double-helical elements and three loops (D, anti-codon, and T loops). Lineage: Eukaryota; Metazoa; Chordata; Mammalia; Rodentia; Sciuridae. The record is from Rfam by way of RNAcentral.
GGGGUUGUAGCUCAGCGGUAGAGCGCUCACCUAGCAUGUGAGAGGCCCUGGGUUCGGCCCUCAGCACCA